GUCGUUUUUUAACUGCUUUUUCUGCUCUUCUCUCUCCGUGUGUGUAAGGGGAAUGGCUGCUAGAGAGAGGUUUAUUCAGGAUACUGAGUGCCUGUCAGUGUGAAGUGAAGCUGACAGAGGAAGAUCCUGAAAUGUUAAUAGGGAGAAUCUUGUGCAGGAUCUCUCUAUAAGGAACAAAGUGAAUAAGUAUGAGAUUGUAGAUACGUUAUUCUCAGUUAUGUUUAUGAAAUUAAAGUCCCUUUUGAAUAUAAGGAGUCUGGACAUUGCACAACCUGCUGCAGCUGAGAACCAAGGCAAGACUAUGAGUAAGUAAUUCAUAUUUAAAGCUGAUUUCCACAGUUUCUUGAUUUCUUUGUUAAGCAGGGUAAAGGAAAAGGGGGAGUCCACUUGCUCUGCAGCUAGACUUACUUAAAAGAAGCCUUCACAGCUGAUUCCUACAUGUUUCAGUUUUGCUGCUAAGGGUGGGGCUUUUGAACUCUGUUCAGCCACACACACAGAGACACAUAUGAUGAGUACCUGGAGGGAUAAAUUGCAAUUAAUAUAUCCUCUCCCACCUAUGAAAAUGCCACAGAGAGUUCCACACAGUAACUGUGUGAAGGACUUUAUUUUCUCUAUCCUGAAUCUUCCAAUAUUCAGCUUCAUGGCAAGUCCUUGAGUUUUGGUGUCUUGAGAGAGGGAGAAAAACCAUUUCCUGUCUGCUUCCUCUGUGCUGUGCAGGAUCUUAUGGGCUUCUACCAUGUCCUUUCUUACUCAUCUUUUCUCUGAGAUAAAAAACCCCAAACACUGCUGCCUUUCCUGUUCUACCCCUUUGAUCAUUUUCUGAAUCUUUUCCAACUCUGCCUUCUCCUUUUGCAAGUGAGGCAGCUGGAGAAUGAAAUUCUCCCCGGGUACUAGGAAGCAUGACACAAAGGGAACUGUUCUCCUUGAGAACUUUUCCCUGGUCUGUUCUGAAUUUUUAGGGAAGUUUAGGGAAGUUUUUUAAUGACUGAUGUUUUAAUGUAUUUUUAAUCUCGUGUUGGAAGUCGUCCAGAGUGGCUGGGGAAAUUUAUUAUAAGUAGUUAUUGUUGUUGUUGUUGUUGUUGUUGUUGUUAUUUUAUUAUGAACAAAUUAGGAACGAGUGACAGUGGAGUCUCAGCGAUGGACCCGUUCAUGUUGCCUCAAUAUAAGAAGAGAAUUUUGGGUUGCAGAGAGACGCUGAACAUUGAACAGGAGAAGCAUCGGCGCUUUUUUGUUCUAGUUGGAGAUGAAUCAGCGUACAGGAGGGAGGUUCAAAAAAUAUCUGCAUGGUGCCUAGAGAAUAACUUGCACCUAAAUAUUAGCAAGACAAAGGAGAUGGUGUUGGACUUUCGGAGGAAGAGAGGGGAACCUGCCCCGUUGUAUAUCAGGGGUGGUUGUGUGGAGAGAGUCUCUUCCUUUAAAUUCCUGGGAGUUUACCUUAGUGAAGACCUCACGUGGAAAAGCAAUGUAACUCAGGUUGUUAGGAAGGCCCAACAGAGACUCGAUUUCCUCAGGGUCUUGCGAAAGAACACUGUUAAACAACAAUUGAUGACUUCCUUCUACCAAUCCACAAAAGAAAGUGUCCUCUUAUAUUGUAUCACAGUGUGGUACGUUGGCUUGACAGCCACGGACGAAAGUCUCUACAGAGGGUGGUGAACACAGUACAUGAUAUCAUGGGCUGUCCCCUGAGCCCGCUAGAUGAUAUCGCAAAGGAUCGUGGCCUUAGGAGAGCGGGAAAAAUUCUCAGGGACGAUUCACACCCCGGCCAGCACCUCUUUAAUCUUCUACCCUCGGGCAGGAGAUAAAGUAUAAUCAGUCAUGCCAACAAGCUAAAAAACAGUUUCUAUCCAUGGGCUGUUAGGCUGCUGAAUGGAAAAUAAUACAGUGGUACCUCUCCUUGCAAAUGGGAUCCGUUCUGGAGGCCCGUUCACAACGUGAAAAGAGCGCAACCCGCAGCGACGCGUCUGCGCACACAUGGGUUGUGAUUCACCGCUUCUGCGCAUGCGUGUGACAUCAUUUUGCAUUUCUGCGCAUGCGCAAGCGACAAAACCCGGAAGUAACCCUUUCUGGUACUUCCGGGUUGCUGUGGGACGUAACCUGAAAGAAAGUAACAUGAAGUGGACGUAACAUGAGGUAUGACUGUAUAGUGCAACUGACUUUCGGGGUUGGUGUGUUGUGCAACAAGCACACAUAGUACAAUGAGAUUGAAUGUUUGUGCGGGGGGGGGGAGACUCGGUUAAUUUCAUUGUACACAGGUUGUACAUUGACAAUAAAGGUAUUAUUAUUAUUAGUUUAUUAUAAAGCAUGCCACUAGUCCUCAUGGAGGCAGCAUGCCACAAUCCAUGUGGCUCACCCCUUCCCCAUCACAUAGGGUUGUUGGGUGGGUUGAAUGGCAGAGAGGGCAGAACCACAUCAGCUACUUUGAACGCCUUGGAGGGAAAAUGCAAAUGGACCAUAAAUGCAAUAAAGAAAUAGUUUUGACAUGCAAACUAGGCCAGGAUUUUACCACAAGGCAGCCAGUGUGGUGUGGUGGUGAGAGUCUCAGACUGGCCAUAAAACCCCCUGACUGACCCUUGGGCCAGUCACUGCAUCUCAACCUCCCCUCUCACCACCUUGAGUCCCUUGCAGAAAAGGGGCAGGAUAUAAAUGCAAGCCAUGGCAGCACCUGCACUUUGGAACUCCCUGCCACUUCAGACCAAGCAGGUGGCUUCACUGUACGCUUCUCGGUUCCUGCUAAAAACAUUCUUUUUUAGACAAGUCUGCCCAGAAGCUUAGGAAGCUGGUGUGAAUUUUAGCCUGUUUUAGCUUUUUAACUUUUUGUACAUGUAUCAUAACCUCCCCCCCCCCCCCCGAUUUUAUGGUUUUCAUAAAAUUCUCUGGUGUUUAAAUUUCAUGGAAUGAAUCAAUCAAUCAAUCAAUCAAUCAAUCAAAGUGGCCUUGAAUCAGUCGUCCCUCAUCCAAGAUCUGAUUAUGGAUGAAGAGGCCUAUUUGAUACAUAGGGCUGCCUCGGAAGACGGUUUGGAAACUUCAUGUCAGGGGCUGGCUGGAUGAAGAGGAGGAGCCACCAGCUGGGGAACCCCCAAGGGAAACCCCAGAGGAGUAAGGCUUAGAGUCCGGGGAUUGGUGGUGGGGCACCGAGGAGAGGUCAGAGGGAGAAGAUUGGCAGGAGGGGCGGAUGCGUAAGGGACAACAGGCUUUAGUGAGCAGGAAGAACCUGUGUCAGAGAGCAGUUCAGGCUGAAGCAAAGGAGGGGGCCAAGGGGCUGAUGAAGAAUUCAGAGUCUCCCUGUUCUGCUGCGACAAGCUCCCCUCAUCGUUGUCCUCCCAGGACAUGCAGAGAAACGAAAAGAGCGGAACAGGGGCCAGAGGUGUGCAGACACAAUUUGAGGCUGCUUGGGAAACAUCCGGGAGAGGAGGAG
Non-coding RNA from Podarcis lilfordi (Lilford's wall lizard), 3415 nucleotides. Lineage: Eukaryota; Metazoa; Chordata; Lepidosauria; Squamata; Lacertidae. The record is from the annotation of a GenBank genome assembly.